RNAcentral lists this ribosomal RNA (253 nucleotides) under uncultured bacterium. RNAcentral describes it as "partial 16S ribosomal RNA". It matches the Rfam family "Bacterial small subunit ribosomal RNA", at positions 524 to 776 of the family's 1533-position model. The record is from RNAcentral.
UACGAAGGGUGCAAGCGUUACUCGGAAUUACUGGGCGUAAAGCGUAUGCAGGCGGACUUUUAAGUCGGGGGUGAAAUCCCGAGGCUCAACCUCGGAACUGCCUUCGAUACUGGAAGUCUUGAGUCCGGGAGAGGUGAGUGGAACUCCGAGUGUAGAGGUGAAAUUCGUAGAUAUUCGGAAGAACACCAGUGGCGAAGGCGGCUCACUGGCCCGGUACUGACGCUGAGAUACGAAAGCGUGGGGAGCAAACAGG